This 490-nucleotide ribosomal RNA is filed under the name uncultured bacterium. RNAcentral's name for it is "bacterial SSU rRNA". It matches the Rfam family "Bacterial small subunit ribosomal RNA", at positions 28 to 507 of the family's 1533-position model. The record is from RNAcentral.
GAUGAACGCUAGCUACAGGCUUAACACAUGCAAGUCGAGGGGCAGCAUGAACUUAGCUUGCUAAGUUUGAUGGCGACCGGCGCACGGGUGAGUAACACGUAUCCAACCUUCCGUUUACUCAGGGAUAGCCUUUCGAAAGAAAGAUUAAUACCUGAUAGUAUGGUGAGAUUGCAUGAUAACACCAUUAAAGAUUUAUUGGUAAACGAUGGGGAUGCGUUCCAUUAGGUAGUAGGCGGGGUAACGGCCCACCAAGGCGACGAUCAGUAGGGGUUCUGAGAGGAAGGUCCCCCACAUUGGAACUGAGACACGGUCCAAACUCCUACGGGAGGCAGCAGUGAGGAAUAUUGGUCAAUGGACGAGAGUCUGAACCAGCCAAGUAGCGUGCAGGAUGACGGCCCUAUGGGUUGUAAACUGCUUUUAUAAGGGAAUAAAGUGAGUCUCGUGAGGCUUUUUGCAUGUACCUUAUGAAUAAGGACCGGCUAAUUCCGUG